Molecule: transfer-messenger RNA, 352 nt
Filed under: human gut metagenome
Rfam family: transfer-messenger RNA
About the family: Bacterial tmRNA, also known as 10Sa RNA or SsrA, is named for its dual tRNA and mRNA-like properties. Its role is to liberate the mRNA from a stalled ribosome. To accomplish this part of the tmRNA is used as a reading frame that ends in a translation stop signal.
Source: RNAcentral
GGGGGUGCACCGGCUUCGACGGGAGUGAUCGGGGGCGGGGUAAGCGAGCCGUGGUUUCGGAUCCACGAUAAUCCUUCGGGCGUAAAAAUAAACGCUAACAAUAAAACUUUAGCCGUAGCUGCUUAACGCAGCUGCCGUCGACUCCGACCGCCUGCGGAUCGGACAAUCGGCGUCAUGAUCGCAGGGAACGCCAUCGGCCUAAGCUUUGCAGCCGGGGUGUAAAGAUGAAGCUACCAAACCGCUGCUUUGUCCGUGAUACAGCGGGGCGGGAAUAAAAACGCACUGACUACGCUCGUAGAAAGCCGCGCAAACGCACUUUCGGACAGGGGUUCAAUUCCCCUCACCUCCACCA